AUUCCAGCUCCAAUAGCGUAUAUUAAAGUUGUUGCAGUUAAAAAGCUCGUAGUUGGAUUUCUGGUAGAAGUAGCGACCUUGGGUCUUUGACCUAUGAAGUUGCUAUCUUCAACCAUCCUUGAAGAGAUUUAGUUUGGCAUUAAGUUGUCGAACUAAAGAUAUUCAUCUUUUACUGUGAAAAAAUCAGAACGUUCAAAGUAAGCAUUUAGCUUUGAAUGUAUUAGCAUGGAAUAAUGAAAUAGGACUUAGGUACUACUUUGUUGGUUUAUGCACCUAGGUAAUGAUUAAUAGGGAUAGUUGAGGGUAUUCGUAUUCCAAUGUUAGAGGUGAAAUUCUUGGAUUUUUGGAAGACGAACAACUGCGAAAGCAUUUACCAAGGAUGUUUUCAUCA
This 391-nucleotide ribosomal RNA is filed under the name Actinocyclus sp. (in: diatoms). RNAcentral's name for it is "Actinocyclus sp. (in: Bacillariophyta) partial small subunit ribosomal RNA". It matches the Rfam family "Eukaryotic small subunit ribosomal RNA", at positions 582 to 975 of the family's 1831-position model. Lineage: Eukaryota; Bacillariophyta; Coscinodiscophyceae; Coscinodiscales; Hemidiscaceae. The record is from RNAcentral.